CUCAUAGAAAGGCUCCGCCAAAUGAAGAAAUCUGGUGAAUGCAGUGAAGAUCGUGUCAGGAUAAGCCACAUAAGAAAUGUCACCAUUGGGCAAGUCCAGAAACAAAUAUGGGAAAGGAUUAUUAUGUGAUCACUUCUUGUGAGACGUAGCUGCUUCAGAGGUAAGAGUUGUUGUAGUUCUGUACAUAGGUAGGAUUCAAUCCACUUAAUAAUUGCGCUGCUUUUAUGAGUUUGCCAAUUGAAGCUGUUUUACCUCAAUUUUAUGAGUAGUUUUCAUUUUACAUGUAUACAUGACUGUAGAGUACAGAUCUGGUAAGAUCAUAUAGAUAUAUUUCAAACCGGCAAUUUGAGUGAUCUAGAACAAAAUAACAAGUUUUUAGUUUUCUUGGUAGAUACACAAGUACCAUCGAUCCAACUAGUUGCUCUCUAUACUCCACACCAUCUUCAGCUACUUGCAUAAUUGAACGCUUGAUCCACACAAUGCCCAAGCCUAGGGCUCAAACUGAAGCCUAAAACUACCCAUACAAUGCCUCCACACACAAAAAUACAGUACAAUUAUGCUAAAAUCAAAUUACAACUAUCCAUUGUACGGGAAAAAUAUCUAUUCUAAUGAUGUGUACAGCCGAGAAGGUUCAUGGUUGCAGUUACAAUGGGCAAAAUUAAGACCAAUUCAUUUGACAAAUUAACAUCUUCUUGUUCUAACUGCUCAUAAAAUACUGAGAAGUGGAACUGAGAAAGUGAAUGAAAGAAAGAGACUAACCGCUUCUUCCUGUUCUGGGUAAUCAAGGAAGGGGAAAAGGAAGCCUAGCUACCGGCGACUUCACAGCUCUGCCGGCCUGCCGCGUCGAUCCCGCCGGCCCCCGGCCUGCCGCAUCCAUCUUGUCGGCCGCCGGACGCCGCUACCCCGCGCCCUAACCCUAGCCGUCCGCCGCGCCCUAACCCUCGCCGUCCGCCGCGCCCUAACCCCCGCCCNN
RNAcentral lists this long non-coding RNA (973 nucleotides) under Oryza brachyantha (malo sina). RNAcentral describes it as "long non-coding RNA (OBRA_LNC002575)". The record is from RNAcentral. Lineage: Eukaryota; Viridiplantae; Streptophyta; Magnoliopsida; Poales; Poaceae.